GCCUGGGUGGCUCAGUCAGUUAAGCGUCUGACUUCAGCUCAGGUCAUGAUCUCGUGGUUUGUGGGUUCGAGCCCCAUGUUGGGCU
RNAcentral lists this transfer RNA (85 nucleotides) under Felis catus (domestic cat). It matches the Rfam family "tRNA". From Rfam's summary of the family: Transfer RNA (tRNA) molecules are approximately 80 nucleotides in length. Their secondary structure includes four short double-helical elements and three loops (D, anti-codon, and T loops). The record is from Rfam by way of RNAcentral. Lineage: Eukaryota; Metazoa; Chordata; Mammalia; Carnivora; Felidae.